UUUACAAUGACGACACACCCUUAUAAAUCAUCCUUGCACUACUUAUGUCGUACAUUGAUGAUUUAUGAAGGUGUGUUGCUGACUCUGC
Molecule: microRNA precursor, 88 nt
Filed under: Nematostella vectensis (starlet sea anemone)
Lineage: Eukaryota; Metazoa; Cnidaria; Anthozoa; Actiniaria; Edwardsiidae
Description: microRNA nve-mir-2042 precursor
Source: miRBase by way of RNAcentral